CUGCUUGUGGCCUAGUGGGUAAGGUUACAGUCUUGGAAACACGGGAUCCUAGGUUCAAACCCAGCUAGGGACA
RNAcentral lists this transfer RNA (73 nucleotides) under Anguilla anguilla (European eel). Its description in RNAcentral is "tRNA-OTHER". The record is from RNAcentral. Lineage: Eukaryota; Metazoa; Chordata; Actinopteri; Anguilliformes; Anguillidae.